Molecule: ribosomal RNA, 305 nt
Filed under: uncultured bacterium
Lineage: Bacteria
Description: bacterial SSU rRNA
Rfam family: Bacterial small subunit ribosomal RNA
Source: RNAcentral
GGUCCUACGGGGCGCAGCAGUGGGGAAUAUUGCACAAUGGGGGAAACCCUGAUGCAGCGACGCCGCGUGAGUGAAGAAGUAUUUCGGUAUGUAAAGCUCUAUCAGCAGGGAAGAUAAUGUCGGUACCCGACUAAGAAGCCCCGGCUAACUACGUGCCAGCAGCCGCGGUAAUACGUAGGGGGCAAGCGUUAUCCGGAUUUACUGGGUGUAAAGGGUGCGUAGGUGGCAGGGCAAGUCAGAUGUGAAAGCCCGGGGCUCAACCCCGGUACUGCAUUUGAAACUGUUGAACUUGAGUGCAGAAGAGG